This 908-nucleotide ribosomal RNA is filed under the name Mammaliicoccus sciuri. RNAcentral describes it as "bacterial SSU rRNA". It matches the Rfam family "Bacterial small subunit ribosomal RNA", at positions 28 to 916 of the family's 1533-position model. The record is from RNAcentral. Lineage: Bacteria; Bacillati; Bacillota; Bacilli; Caryophanales; Staphylococcaceae.
GAUGAACGCUGGCGGCGUGCCUAAUACAUGCAAGUCGAGCGAACAGAUGAGAAGCUUGCUUCUCUGAUGUUAGCGGCGGACGGGUGAGUAACACGUGGGUAACCUACCUAUAAGACUGGGAUAACUCCGGGAAACCGGGGCUAAUACCGGAUAAUAUUUUGAACCGCAUGGUUCAAUAGUGAAAGACGGUUUCGGCUGUCACUUAUAGAUGGACCCGCGCCGUAUUAGCUAGUUGGUAAGGUAACGGCUUACCAAGGCGACGAUACGUAGCCGACCUGAGAGGGUGAUCGGCCACACUGGAACUGAGACACGGUCCAGACUCCUACGGGAGGCAGCAGUAGGGAAUCUUCCGCAAUGGGCGAAAGCCUGACGGAGCAACGCCGCGUGAGUGAUGAAGGUCUUCGGAUCGUAAAACUCUGUUGUUAGGGAAGAACAAAUUUGUUAGUAACUGAACAAGUCUUGACGGUACCUAACCAGAAAGCCACGGCUAACUACGUGCCAGCAGCCGCGGUAAUACGUAGGUGGCAAGCGUUAUCCGGAAUUAUUGGGCGUAAAGCGCGCGUAGGCGGUUUCUUAAGUCUGAUGUGAAAGCCCACGGCUCAACCGUGGAGGGUCAUUGGAAACUGGGAAACUUGAGUGCAGAAGAGGAGAGUGGAAUUCCAUGUGUAGCGGUGAAAUGCGCAGAGAUAUGGAGGAACACCAGUGGCGAAGGCGGCUCUCUGGUCUGUAACUGACGCUGAUGUGCGAAAGCGUGGGGAUCAAACAGGAUUAGAUACCCUGGUAGUCCACGCCGUAAACGAUGAGUGCUAAGUGUUAGGGGGUUUCCGCCCCUUAGUGCUGCAGCUAACGCAUUAAGCACUCCGCCUGGGGAGUACGACCGCAAGGUUGAAACUCAAAGGAAUUGACGG